AUGAGUAGGAGUUGGGGUAAGAAGGGAUGAGUAGGGGUCAAGGUAGAGAAGGAUGGUAGGGGUCCAGGAAUAGAGGAAUGAGUAGGAGUUGGGGUUAGAAGGGAUGAGUAGGGGUCAAGGUAGAGAAGGAUGGUAGGGGUCCAGGAAUGGAGGGAUGAGUAGGGAUCGAGGUAAGGAGGGAUGAUUUAAUCUAAUAAAACCUCCAGGUUAAUGAAAACAGACUAGUUUCCCUGCUCUGUGUAGAAACAGCAGAGGUAGGACUAAAGAGCUGGGCAGACCAAACCAGUUUGAAGAUAUCAGCACCACACAUCCCUGAUUGUCACCAAGAGGUGUUGAUUUGUCGACAGCAAGGCCGACAAGAAAGGCUGCAAACCACAACCACAGCACUGCCAGGAUCACCACGAUGGUGUGGAACGCCUUCUGCUUUGAUUGAUCGACCCUGUCCCUGUUCCCGCCCACUUCCCCCGGCCCUGGACGAAUCAGAACACAGAGAACACGAAGGCUGCAGAAAGAGACGAUUAUUAAAGAGAUGAUGAAGAGGCAGAAGAAAACACUUUCUGAAAUUAAAUUGAUCCACAGACUUAUCAGUCCACUCCAUGAGAGGGAGAAGAGCCAAACACACACUGUGCUGAUGUUCCUGAUCCUGACCCCACCAGACUGCCUCAGCUUCAGGUACAUGACAGGGUGAAUAACAGCCAGGUAUCUCUCCACACAGGUCAAACAGUGAAAGCAUACCUGUCCAGGCACAACGAUAGUGCACAUAUACGUCCCUACUAUCACCAUCCAGUAAGUGCUACUGAAUCUGCCGCAUGUGUAGACGACGGCCCCCAGCGCAGAGAUCAUCUCCAGAGCAACCGUGUGGAAGGUGAAGAUAUCUGAGUGGCUUGUUGUUGCAAAGGAGCGCUGCUGCAGCCAUUGUCGGUGACCCAGAUGGAGGACGAAGAUGCUGAGAGGGAGGAGGAGGAGGGUCCUGGUGAUGAUGUAGGCAGUGGAGAUGUAAAGUCCCUCCAGAGACUCUGCACAGUGGAUCUCAAAGUAGGAGGAGGAAGAGGAAGAGGAGUUGCUUGACAUGUUGGGUUUGUGUGUUAAAGCUUGUAUAGAGAAAAGAGAGGAAUAAUUAUAUUAUCAACAUGGAAUGGCACCUUUCAUUUUUCCAAGCAAGGCAUUAUUAGAACACUCAAGAACUGCAUUGUUGUUUAUAUUUUGCUUCAUAUUGUGUGUUAUAUUUUAGAUUCUGCUUCAUGUUAUUUAUGUGUCAUUGUUGCACACUGUGGUUAGUGAUCCCUGUGAAAGCUUUUAUCAUUCUGCUGUGUGCAUUUCAAAAAGACAAAGUGUCAUUCGGUUUGAUUUGAGAAAUAAAGUCAGAAAUUUCAGAUUCA
Molecule: long non-coding RNA, 1379 nt
Organism: Notolabrus celidotus (New Zealand spotty)
Lineage: Eukaryota; Metazoa; Chordata; Actinopteri; Labriformes; Labridae
Exons: 2
Source: RefSeq, a predicted model, not a curated record